RNAcentral lists this ribosomal RNA (304 nucleotides) under uncultured bacterium. Its description in RNAcentral is "partial 16S ribosomal RNA". It matches the Rfam family "Bacterial small subunit ribosomal RNA", at positions 509 to 807 of the family's 1533-position model. The record is from RNAcentral.
CAGCAGUCGCCGCGGGAACACAGAGGGUGCGAGCGUUAAUCGGAUUUACUGGGCGUAAAGCGUGCGUAGGCGGCUUCUUAAGUCGGAUGUGAAAUCCCUGAGCUUAACUUAGGAAUUGCAUUCGAUACUGGGAAGCUAGAGUAUGGGAGAGGAUGGUAGAAUUCCAGGUGUAGCGGUGAAAUGCGUAGAGAUCUGGAGGAAUACCGAUGGCGAAGGCAGCCAUCUGGCCUAAUACUGACGCUGAGGUACGAAAGCAUGGGGAGCAAACAGGAUUAGAUACCCGUGUAGUCCCUGUCUCUUAUAC